RNAcentral lists this transfer RNA (74 nucleotides) under Pteropus alecto (black flying fox). It matches the Rfam family "tRNA". From Rfam's summary of the family: Transfer RNA (tRNA) molecules are approximately 80 nucleotides in length. Their secondary structure includes four short double-helical elements and three loops (D, anti-codon, and T loops). RNAcentral also lists the same sequence under 1 other name. Lineage: Eukaryota; Metazoa; Chordata; Mammalia; Chiroptera; Pteropodidae. The record is from Rfam by way of RNAcentral.
UGCUCCAUAGUGUAGUGAUUAGCACAUCUGCUUUACACGUAGAAGAUUCUGGGUUCACGCCCGAGGUGGAGCUA